GAUGAACGCUGGCGGCGUGCCUAAUACAUGCAAGUCGAGCGAACGGACGAGAAGCUUGCUUCUCUGAUGUUAGCGGCGGACGGGUGAGUAACACGUGGAUAACCUACCUAUAAGACUGGGAUAACUUCGGGAAACCGGAGCUAAUACCGGAUAAUAUUUUGAACCGCAUGGUUCAAAAGUGAAAGACGGUCUUGCUGUCACUUAUAGAUGGAUCCGCGCUGCAUUAGCUAGUUGGUAAGGUAACGGCUUACCAAGGCAACGAUGCAUAGCCGACCUGAGAGGGUGAUCGGCCACACUGGAACUGAGACACGGUCCAGACUCCUACGGGAGGCAGCAGUAGGGAAUCUUCCGCAAUGGGCGAAAGCCUGACGGAGCAACGCCGCGUGAGUGAUGAAGGUCUUCGGAUCGUAAAACUCUGUUAUUAGGGAAGAACAUAUGUGUAAGUAACUGUGCACAUCUUGACGGUACCUAAUCAGAAAGCCACGGCUAACUACGUGCCAGCAGCCGCGGUAAUACGUAGGUGGCAAGCGUUAUCCGGAAUUAUUGGGCGUAAAGCGCGCGUAGGCGGUUUUUUAAGUCUGAUGUGAAAGCCCACGGCUCAACCGUGGGGGGUCAUUGGAAACUGGAAAACUUGAGUGCAGAAGAGGAAAGUGGAAUUCCAUGUGUAGCGGUGAAAUGCGCAGAGAUAUGGAGGAACACCAGUGGCGAAGGCGACUUUCUGGUCUGUAACUGACGCUGAUGUGCGAAAGCGUGGGGAUCAAACAGGAUUAGAUACCCUGGUAGUCCACGCCGUAAACGAUGAGUGCUAAGUGUUAGGGGGUUUCCGCCCCUUAGUGCUGCAGCUAACGCAUUAAGCACUCCGCCUGGGGAGUACGACCGCAAGGUUGAAACUCAAAGGAAUUGACGGGGACCCGCACAAGCGGUGGAGCAUGUGGUUUAAUUCGAAGCAACGCGAAGAACCUUACCAAAUCUUGACAUCCUUUGACAACUCUAGAGAUAGAGCCUUCCCCUUCGGGGGACAAAGUGACAGGUGGUGCAUGGUUGUCGUCAGCUCGUGUCGUGAGAUGUUGGGUUAAGUCCCGCAACGAGCGCAACCCUUAAGCUUAGUUGCCAUCAUUAAGUUGGGCACUCUAAGUUGACUGCCGGUGACAAACCGGAGGAAGGUGGGGAUGACGUCAAAUCAUCAUGCCCCUUAUGAUUUGGGCUACACACGUGCUACAAUGGACAAUACAAAGGGCAGCGAAACCGCGAGGUCAAGCAAAUCCCAUAAAGUUGUUCUCAGUUCGGAUUGUAGUCUGCAACUCGACUACAUGAAGCUGGAAUCGCUAGUAAUCGUAGAUCAGCAUGCUACGGUGAAUACGUUCCUGGGUCU
RNAcentral lists this ribosomal RNA (1372 nucleotides) under uncultured bacterium. Its description in RNAcentral is "bacterial SSU rRNA". It matches the Rfam family "Bacterial small subunit ribosomal RNA", at positions 28 to 1381 of the family's 1533-position model. The record is from RNAcentral.